GAUGAAGAACGUAGCGAAAUGCGAUAGGUAAUGUGAAUUGCAGAAUUCAGUGAAUCAUCGAAUCUUUGAACGCACAUUGCGCCCUUUGGUAUUCCUUAGGGCAUGCCUGUUCGAGCGUCAUUGCUGCCCUCAAGCACGGCUUGUGUGUUGGGCCUCCGUCCUCCUCCCGGGGGACGGGCCCGAAAGGCAGCGGCGGCACCGCGUCCGGUCCUCGAGCGUAUGGGGCUUCGUCACCCGCUCUUGUAGGCCCGGUCGGCGCUUGCCGACACAUCAAUCUUUUUUCCAGGUUGACCUCGGAUCAGGUAGGGAUACCCGCUGAACUUAAGCAUAUCAAUAAGCGGAGGA
RNAcentral lists this unclassified non-coding RNA (345 nucleotides) under soil metagenome. Its description in RNAcentral is "partial contains 5.8S ribosomal RNA, internal transcribed spacer 2, and large subunit ribosomal RNA". The stretch from base 1 to 120 matches the Rfam family "5.8S ribosomal RNA", at positions 35 to 154 of the family's 154-position model. The record is from RNAcentral.